UGGGGAAUAUUGGACAAUGGGCGCAAGCCUGAUCCAGCCAUGCCGCGUGAGUGAUGAAGUAUUUCGGUAUGUAAACUUCGAAAGAAUAGGAAGAAUAAAUGACGGUACUAUUUAUAAGGUCCGGCUAACUACGUGCCAGCAGCCGCGGUAAUACGUAGGGACCAAGCGUUGUUCGGAUUUACUGGGCGUAAAGGGCGCGUAGGCGGUGUGUCAAGUCAGUUGUGAAAUCUCCGAGCUUAACUCGGAACGGUCAACUGAUACUGUCACACUAGAGUACAGAAGGGGCAAUCGGAAUUCUUGGUGUAGCGGUGAAAUGCGUAGAUAUCAAGAGGAACACCUGAGGCGAAGGCGGGUUGCUGGGCUGAUACUGACGCUGAGGCGCGAAAGCUAGGGUAGCAAACGGGAUUAGAUACCCCAGUAGUCCCUGAGCGGGCUGGCAAGGCGCAU
RNAcentral lists this ribosomal RNA (447 nucleotides) under uncultured bacterium. Its description in RNAcentral is "bacterial SSU rRNA". It matches the Rfam family "Bacterial small subunit ribosomal RNA", at positions 355 to 825 of the family's 1533-position model. The record is from RNAcentral.